GGAAUAUUGGGCAAUGCCCGAAAGGGUGACCCAGCAACGCCGCGUGGAGGAUGAAGGUCGUAAGAUUGUAAACUCCUGUUAGAGGGGAAGAAUAACUAAGUUUGGAGCUUAGUAUGACUGUACCCUCAGAGAAAGCCCCGGCUAACUACGUGCCAGCAGCCGCGGUAAUACGUAGGGGGCAAGCGUUGUCCGGAUUUCCUGGGUGUCAAGGGCGCGCAGGCGGAAUGGAAAGUCAGUGGUGAAAUCCUACAGCUUAACUGUAGAACUGCCUUUGNUACUUUCAUUCUUGAGUUCGGGAGAGAGAGACGGAAUUCCAGGUGUAGUGGUGAAAUACGUAGAUAUCUGGAAGAACACCAGUUGCGAAGGCGGUCUCUUGGUCCGAUACUGACGCUGAGGCGCGAAAGCGUGGGGAGCAAACA
RNAcentral lists this ribosomal RNA (419 nucleotides) under uncultured bacterium. Its description in RNAcentral is "bacterial SSU rRNA". It matches the Rfam family "Bacterial small subunit ribosomal RNA", at positions 358 to 774 of the family's 1533-position model. The record is from RNAcentral.